CUCUCCUCCUCCUCCUAAAGUUGUUCCUCUACCCUCCACUCUCUCCCCUAACCUCCUAAAGGUGUUCCUCUCCCUCCACUCUCUCCUCCUAACCUCCUAAAGAUGUUCCUCUACCCUCCACUCUCUCCUCCUAACCUCCUAAAGAUGUUCCUCUACCCUCCACUCUCUCCUCCUAACCUCCUAAAGGUGUUCCUCUACCCUCCACUCUCUCCUCCUAACCUCCUAAAGAUGUUCCUCUACCCUCCACUCUCUCCUCCUAACCUCCUAAAGGUGUUCCUCUACCCUCCACUCUCUCCUCCUAACCUCCUAAAGUCGUUCCUCUACCGUCCACUCUCUCCUCCUAACCUCCUAAAGUCGUUCCUCUACCGUCCACUCUCUCCUCCUAACCUCCUAAAGUCGUUCCUCUACCCUCCAAUCUCUCUCCUCCUAAAGAUGUUCCUCUCCCCUCCACUCUCUCUCCUCCUAAAGUUGUUCCUCUACCCUCCACCCUCUCUCCUCCUAAAGAUGUCCCUCUACCCUCCACUCUCUCUCCUCCUAAAGAUGUUCCUCUACCCUCCACCCUCUCUCCUCCUAAAGAUGUCCCUCUACCCUCCACUCUCUCUCCUCCUAAAGAUGUUCCUCUACCCUCCACCCUCUCUCCUCCUAAAGAUGUCCCUCUACCCUCCACUCUCUCUCCUCCUAAAGUUGUUCCUCUACCCUCCACCCUCUCUCCUCCUAAAGAUGUCCCUCUACCCUCCACUCUCUCUCCUCCUAAAGAUGUUCCUCUACCCUCCACUCUCUCUCCUCCUAAAGUUGUUCCUCUACCCUCCACUCUCUCUCCUAAAGUUG
Oncorhynchus tshawytscha (Chinook salmon) is the source of this 828-nucleotide long non-coding RNA. The record is from Ensembl. Lineage: Eukaryota; Metazoa; Chordata; Actinopteri; Salmoniformes; Salmonidae.